This 314-nucleotide small nuclear RNA is filed under the name Meriones unguiculatus (Mongolian gerbil). RNAcentral's name for it is "7SK RNA (ENSMUGG00000011411.1)". It matches the Rfam family "7SK RNA". From Rfam's summary of the family: 7SK was discovered as an abundant small nuclear RNA in the mid-70s but a possible function has only recently been suggested. Two independent studies have found that 7SK RNA binds the CDK9/cyclin T complex (known as elongation factor P-TEFb). The record is from RNAcentral. Lineage: Eukaryota; Metazoa; Chordata; Mammalia; Rodentia; Muridae.
GGGUGUGAGGGCAAUCUGUCUGAGGCAUCUGACACGCACUGAUCGCCAGGAUUGAUUCAGCUGAUCAGGCUGUCUAAGCAGGUGUCCCUUUCCUCCCUCAUGGCUCCAUGUGUGUCAUUCUUGAAACUGCAGCUCAACUGAGGAGGAUGGCUUUCCCCAUAUAAAAGAGGAUCAGUCUUUGGUCAAGGGAAGACUAGCAGCUGUAGAGGAAUUUUAAUCCAGUAACAUGGCUGCUCUGGCAAGGGAUCAUAUCUAAAUACCUGCUAGGUCUAUCUGGUUAAUAUGCAGGCAAGCUCUGGAUUAUAGCAUGAUCU